UACGGAGGGUGCAAGCGUUAUCCGGAUUCACUGGGUUUAAAGGGUGCGUAGGUGGGCAGGUAAGUCAGUGGUGAAAUCUCCGGGCUUAACUCGGAAACUGCCAUUGAUACUAUCUGUCUUGAAUACCGUGGAGGUUAGCGGAAUAUGUCAUGUAGCGGUGAAAUGCUUAGAUAUGAUACAGAACACCAAUUGCGAAGGCAGGUGACUAAGCCGUAACUGACGCUGAGGCUCGAAAGCGUGGGGAUCAAACAGG
This 253-nucleotide ribosomal RNA is filed under the name uncultured bacterium. RNAcentral describes it as "partial 16S ribosomal RNA". It matches the Rfam family "Bacterial small subunit ribosomal RNA", at positions 524 to 776 of the family's 1533-position model. The record is from RNAcentral.